RNAcentral lists this long non-coding RNA (6354 nucleotides) under Sus scrofa (pig). Its description in RNAcentral is "lncRNA (ENSSSCG00040031177.1)". Lineage: Eukaryota; Metazoa; Chordata; Mammalia; Artiodactyla; Suidae. The record is from RNAcentral.
UUUUUUUUUUUUUUUUUUUUUGAUCACGCCCAUGGUGCCCCUCCCCCACCACUCCUGUCCAGAUGAGAAGGAUCUGGACUUGUCCUCAUCCACGCUGGAAGACACUUCUGAACAAACUUCGACUUCUAUUGCUCAUCUUUCUCUUUGUACUCGUGAGCCAAGAAGACCCAGGUAGCAUUUGGGCUACACAUAUAAAAAUUAUGUGCCUUUCUAUAUGUAUCUUUUUCAUAAAGCCCCACCUUUACAUGAUAAGGUCUUUUACUUUGGAUAAAAACCAGUGCAGGUAUUCCCACUUGGCAGAGUGAGUAGGUUCCGGCCAUGAGUGGCAGGGCGGGCACACCUCCUCGAGGAUCAAAUUUUGGCUCUGUUCGUCCUGCAUACACCUUCUGUAGAUUGAGAUGCUAUAUUGCCCCUCCCUAGGGGAGCAAGCCUACGGCUAAGUAAACCAUUGUUACUGAUCUAAGUAUGUUUUGAACCGGGAAACCUAGGCUGAGAACCAUGGCUAUGAUUUUUUAUUAAGUGCUUCUUUUUUGACAUUGAUUUUAAGCUUAGGUGUGUAUUUCUGAGCAACGGUAACUAUUAUGGUACAAGUUGGUCCCCAGAUUUGUUACGGUUUUUCAUGCCUUUUAAGUCCUACCACUGACCUAGACCUUAUCCUACACCCCAGGCAAUCUGCUCACCUCAAACUUCUCACAGUUCCUCCACGCAAACCAUGCCUCCCUUUUUGCUGCUUUUCUUGUGCUGUUUUUACUCCCUGGAAUGCUCGUGUUGGGUUCCCUGGCAGACGAGCUCCUCCUCAGCUUUCAGGGUCCCACUCACCUAUAAGCCCUCCUGGAAGACUUCCCUGCCGCCACCUCACUCCUGCCUAUAGCACCAGCCACAGCCUCCAGGGGCUUCUGACAUGUGGCUUUCCACGCAGAAGAUGCUGGCUUGCUGUUCUCUUCGCUCCUCUGCAUGCUGAGCUCAUCAGUGAAGACUCUGCUCUUUGUCCAUGUGCUCUGGGUGAGUGGGAUCAAGUCUGGCAGCAUAUUAAAGAAAAGCACACACACACAAAAAAAACAGGCAUAGUGUUUGAAACCAGUUAAACAGGGGAAGUUUUGAUGAAAUUUCAUGUGUCACCUUAACACGGGAUGCCCAGAUAUUUGCUUCAGCAUGACUCUGGGUGUGUUUAUGAGGGUGUUUGUGCAUGAAAUUAAUACUUGAAUCAUUCGAUUGAGUGACCCAGAUUGCCCUCCCUGAUUCGGGUGGGCCUCGGUCUAGGGCCUCAAUGGAACAAAAGUCAGGGUAAGGGAGAAUUCACUCUCUCUGCAUGACCUGAGCCAAGACAUCUGUCUUCUCUACUCAGACGGCAACUCUACCACUGGCUCUCCUGGGUCUCCAGCCUGCAGUCACGGGACUUAGCCUCCAUAAUCACAUAAGCCAAUUUCUUAGAAUAAAUCAAUCUCUGUAUAUAAAUACACAAACAGAUAUAGAUGCAGAUAUAGAUGUAAAUAUAGAUACAGAUAUAGAUAUAGAUAUAGAUAUAGAUCUCCUUUUGGUUCUGUGUCUCUGGACUUCAGACUGUAUCCAGACUGUGGCCUCUCUCAGUCACCAGAGCUCCAACUCCACCAUCUUAGCAUGAGCCUCCUGGUCCAUGAUGGCUAUGGAGUCGUAGCCGUCACGUUUGUGUUGCAGGCAGCCAGAACGAGGACGGGGCAAGACAGUUCAUUCAUACAAUGGAAGCCUGUGCAUUGCCCCUUCCCUUUAAGAAAAAUUCUCAGAACCCCUCAUGAUCCUCCAUUUACAUGACCAAACCUCACUACCAAAGGGACAAGGAGAUGGAGAUGUUUGGCCAAGCAGCAACAUGCACUAAAACACCCUAUUACCAAAGAAGAUGGGAAGAACAGCUCAUGGGGGCUAUUAGAGGCCUCAGCCAUAUGCUGGCACAAUCAGAUGCUCACAGGACCUCUCCUAUAUGUAUUAAAGGGGGUCAGUCAUCACCGAAGGCUUAUGGUGCCGGGUCUUGUGACAAGCGGAGUGUUGUAGGUCUGAGAACGUUUCUAGGUAGUUUAAAAGCCUUUCUCUCAGUAUUUCCUUCCUCCUCCUAGAUACUCAGGCAGGCUCAUUUCAAAAUAUCAACUCUCCUAAGUUAAUCUAAAAAUGUAAUGUUAGCCCAAUUAAAAUGUUAACAGAGUCUUUUAGGGAAAUUGAUUAUAAAGUUUAUAUUGAAAUAGAAACAAGCUAUUGUAGUAAAAAAAUUGAAUAGAAAUCUGAAUUGAAAGCAGGGGAAUGUAGGGUUUGAUAAAAGGGUUUUCAAAUCAAGAAGAGUGCUCCUUCUAAAAAUGUCGUUAGGAGUUCCCUGGUGGCUCAGCUGGUUAAGGAUCUGAUGUUGCCACUGCAUUGGCUCUGGUUAUUGCUGUGGUGUGGGUUCAGUCCCUGGCCAGAGAACUUCUGCAUACUGUGGGUGCAAACAGAAAAAGAGAAAAAAAGUCAUUAGACCACUGGAUAGCUACCUGGAGAAAAAGUUGGAUUCCCCUCUAAGCUUAUCUUAGAAUAAAGUCCCAAUAGACCAAAUAUUUACAUGUAGUAAAUAAAAUCUCAAACUUGAAAUUUUUUACAAACUUGGAGUGAAGAAGACCUAAGUAUGACUCAAAACCCAAAGCCAUAGAUGAGCAAAUGAAUAAAUUUAACUCUAAUGCAAUAAGAACAAAAACAAUUUUGCGGGGUUUUUAAAAAAUGCAAAUAACAUCAAAAGUAAAAAUGCAGAUAUAGAAAAGCAUUUUCAACUCAUAUCUUUAAUCUAGACAGCGUUCCCAGAAAUCAAUAAGAAAGAGAUUAACAACCCAACAGAAAAAAAGGCAAAGAACAUGGAGAGACAAUUCACAGAAGAGGAAAUAUAAAUGGUCCUUAAACAGAGGAAAAGAUGUUUAACCUCACUCAUAAUAAGAUCAGUGCAAAUUGAAACUGAGAUACUAAAUCAAAAAAUGAGAGAGCAUUCUAUGUUGGCAAGGAUGUGGGAAAUAGACACCCAUGCAUUGCUGAACAGCAGUAUAAGUUGAUAAAAUGUCUGCAAAGGAAUCUGGCAAUAUUUGUCAAAAAUUUAAAGCAUAUAUCUUUCGAUUCACAUAUUCCUCUUAUCCUAAAGAUACACAUCUUUGCAUGUAAACUUCUACAUGUACGAAAAUUCAUUACGGUCUGGCUUGUAAUAAGAAAAGAUUAGAAGCUGCCCCGUAUCCAUUAACAAGAGAUUGGUUAAAUGAACCAUAGUUCAUUCAUACAAUGGAAGCCUGUGCAUUCUGUAAAAAGAUGUAGAAGGAUUUUUGGAGCACUGUUACAGAACAAUUACUGGGAUAUAUUUAGUAGUGUGUACAUAUGUACUCCAUAUAUAAAAUAGACUGGUAUUAGAGACCUACCAUACAGCACAGAUAAAUUUACUCAAUACUGUGUAAUAACCUAUGUGGGAAGAGAAUCCAAAAAGGAACAGAUCUAUGUAUAUGUAUAACUGAUUUACUUUGCCAUAUGACUGAAAUUAGCACAACUUUGCAAGUCAACUAUAUUCCAAUAAAAUAAAGAUAAAAUAUUAAGAAAUAAAGAUCAAAAAAGAUGUUUAAGUCAAAAAAAAGCAUGAAAAUCAUGGUUCCAAAGAAUGUACAUACUGUUACAAUUGGUGGAGGAAAAAAAAGAACAUAUGUAUUUACACUGACUCUGCAUAAAAUACCAAGAAACAGGAAGUAGGUACCUGGACAGGGAGGCUUAGGGUAGCAGAGGGACAACAGUGAGAGGAAGACUGCUUCACUCGACACACUUUUAUCUUUUAAAUUUGUAUUUAAAUUUAUAUGUUACCUAUUCAAAAAUAACAUUUAAAGAAAUGAAGCAGCUGGGUUUCGAUUGAGAGAAACUAAAUCCUAACACAGCAGAGAACUGUUGAAGGCAUGAGAAACACGUAUCAACUGAAAGACACCACCCUGGACUAAAAAGAGAAUUUAGUAUGUGGAGAAAGCCCCCAAAGUCAGUUACUUCAAGAAAUAGUGGGACGGCACAUGCAAAAGAGUGAGGUUUGAUCCUGACUUCAGCUGUAUCCAAAAAUAAUUCGAAAGGGAUGAAAGACCUGUAGGUAAGAGCCAAAACUUUCUUCUCUUAAAAGAAAACACAAAGUAAAUCCUCAUGACCCUGGAUAAGGCAAUGGUUUCUUAGAUAUGACACCAAAAGCACGAGCUACUGAAGAAAAAAAAUAAUUAUUAGACAUCAUUUGAUGAUGAUUAGACUUCAUCAAGUUGAAAAACUUUUGUCCUUCAAAGCAUAGCAUCAAGAAAGUUAAAAGACAACCUAUAGGGAGUUCCCAUCGUGGCGCAGUGGUUAACGAAUCCGACUAGGAACCAUGAGGUUGCGGGUUCGGUCCCUGCCCUUGCUCAGUGGGUUGACGAUCCCGCAUUGCUGUGAGCUGUGGUGUAGGUUGCAGACGCAGCUCAGAUCCUGUGUUGCUGUGGCUCUGGUGUAGGCCGGUGGCUACAGCUCCGAUUCGACCCCUAGCCUGGGAACCUCCAUAUGCCGCGGGAGCGGCCCAAAGAAAUAGCAAAAAGACUAAAAAAUAAAAAAUAAAAAAAUAAAAGACAACCUAUAGAAAUGGGAGGGGAAAAAACUUUUAAUCAUAUAACUGUGAAAGAACUUGUAUCUAGACUACAUAUAGAAUUCUUAAUAAAAUAUUUCCUUCAAUAAUAAAAAAACAAAUAACAUAUAGAAUUCUUAAUAAAAUAUUUCCUUCAAUAAUAAAAAAACAAAUAACAUAUAGAAUUCUUAAUAAAAUAUUUCCUUCAAUAAUAAAAAAACAAAUAACCAAAUUUUAAAAUGGACAGAGGAUCUGAGCAGACAUUUCUCUAAAAAAGAUGUGCAAAUGGCCGACACAAGCACAUCAUAGGUGUGGAGCAUCAUAGGCCAUCAGGGAAAAGGCAGUCAGAAGCAGGCUGAGAAAUCAUUCACGUGCAUUAGGAUGGCUAUUAUCACAAAGUCAACGAUUGUUCAUGAGGAUAUAGAGAAAUCAGAACCCUUAUCCUCUGUUGGUAGGAAUGUAAACUGGUGCAGCUGCUUUGGAAAAUAGUCUGACAGUUCCUUAAAAAGUAAAACAUAGAAUCACGUGAAAUUCCGCUCCUGAGAGAUAUGAAGACAUAUGUUGACACAAAAAGCUGCAUGCAAAUAUUCGUAGCAUUUAUUUAUAAAGGCCAAAAGUUGAAAACAAACCUAAAUGCCCAUUAGCUGAUGAGUGGAUAAACAAAAUGUGGUAUAUCCAUAAAUGAAAUAUCGUUCGGCCAUAAAAAGGCAUGAAAUACUGAUACAUGCUACAACAUGGAAGAACCUUGAAAACAUUAUGCUAUGUGAAGUAAGCCAAUUUUAAAAUACACUUUAUAAAAUGCCCAUGUGUAGGAAAUGUCCAAACAAGAAAAUAGAGAGAGAUAGAAAGUAGGCUGGUGGUUGCAUCAGGCCAGGAGUGUGGGUGAAAGGUUGAGGGGGUGACAGAGAAUGAGGUAUUUCUGGAUAUGAUGAAAAUAUCCUGUAACUGAUUGUGGUAAUGUCUAUACAAGCCAGUGACUAUACUGAAAAACCGCUGAGUUGUAUAAUUUAUUUGAGAGAAUUGUAUGACAAGUAAAUUAUAUAUCUAUAAAACCAUCACCCCCAAAAAAGUUCCUCCUCCCUCCAAGCUAUUUGAACAUCUUUAAAAAAGAAUGAGAUACUAUAUACAUACAUAUCUCCAUAGGUGCUGGUUUUUUAAAGAUGUCACAUCAUAUACAUAUGAACAAUUGCAUGGUGUGUGUAUACACAUUGGCAUAGGUAAAAAUAUGUCAGGAAUCUUGCCCAGGGUUACCUGAGAAUAAGGCCAAAAGUAAGAGAGAAACCACCCCCUUCUAAUUAUUUAUUUAUUUAUUUAUUUAUUUAUUUAUUUAUUUAUUUAUUUAUUUUUGUCUUUUUAGGGCUGCACUCGUGGCAUAUGGAGGUUUCCGGGCCAGGGGCUGAAUCUGAGCUGUAGCUGCCAGCCUACACCACAGUCAUAGCAACAGCAGAUAUGAGCCGCGUCUGUGACCUACACCACAGGUCACAGCAACACCAGAUCCUUAACCCACAGAGCAAGGUCAGGGAUCAAACCUGUAUUCUCAUGGAUGCUAGUCAGAUUUAUUUCCACUGAGCCACGAUGGGAACUCCCUCCUCUUCUAUUUAUAUGCUUCUAUGUUGUUUGAUUUUUUUAAAUGAGCAAUUGCUAUUUUAUUAAUAUACAAAAAAUAAGAAAAGGCAAAAAUUGAACUCCAGAGUUCCCAUUGUGUGUCAGCAGGUCAAGGGCCCAACACAGUGUUCAUGAGGAUGCGAGUUCAAUCCCUGUCUUUACUC